Molecule: transfer RNA, 85 nt
Filed under: Betaproteobacteria bacterium RIFCSPLOWO2_02_64_14
Lineage: Bacteria; Pseudomonadati; Pseudomonadota; Betaproteobacteria
Also listed under: 10 other names
Description: tRNA-Leu
Rfam family: tRNA
About the family: Transfer RNA (tRNA) molecules are approximately 80 nucleotides in length.
Source: RNAcentral
GCGAAAGUGGCGGAAUUGGUAGACGCACCAGAUUUAGGUUCUGGCGCCGAAAGGCGUGUGGGUUCGAGUCCCUCCUUUCGCACCA